UGUGCUAUAGCUCAGUUGGCAGAGCGACCGCCUGUUAAGCGGUUGGUCCCUGGUUCGAGCCCAGGUAGCACAG
This 73-nucleotide transfer RNA is filed under the name bacterium. RNAcentral describes it as "tRNA-Asn". It matches the Rfam family "tRNA". From Rfam's summary of the family: Transfer RNA (tRNA) molecules are approximately 80 nucleotides in length. The record is from RNAcentral. RNAcentral also lists the same sequence under 4 other names.